GAGGGCCUACGGGAGGCAGCAGUGAGGAAUAUUGGUCAAUGGGCGCGAGCCUGAACCAGCCAAGUAGCGUGAAGGAUGACUGCCCUACGGGUUGUAAACUUCUUUUAUAAAGGAAUAAAGUGAGGCACGUGUGCCUUUUUGUAUGUACUUUAUGAAUAAGGAUCGGCUAACUCCGUGCCAGCAGCCGCGGUAAUACGGAGGAUCCGAGCGUUAUCCGGAUUCAUUGGGUUUAAAGGGUGCGUAGGUUGUUUUAUCAGUUAGCGGUGAAAUACCGAUGCUCAACAUCGGGG
This 290-nucleotide ribosomal RNA is filed under the name uncultured bacterium. RNAcentral describes it as "partial 16S ribosomal RNA". It matches the Rfam family "Bacterial small subunit ribosomal RNA", at positions 333 to 620 of the family's 1533-position model. The record is from RNAcentral.